CAACCCUCAAGCUCCGCUUGGUAUUGGGCGUCACCUAGCACGGUGCACCUUAAACUCAGUGGCGGUGCCAUCUGGCUUCAAGCGUAGUAAUUCUUCUCGCUAUGGAGGUCCAGGUGCGCACUUGCCAGCAACCCCUAAUAUCUCAAA
Molecule: unclassified non-coding RNA, 147 nt
Filed under: uncultured Leotiomycetes
Lineage: Eukaryota; Fungi; Ascomycota; Leotiomycetes
Description: sequence contains ITS2
Source: RNAcentral